UACGUAGGGUGCAAGCGUUAAUCGGAAUUACUGGGCGUAAAGCGUGCGCAGGCGGUGAUGUAAGACAGAUGUGAAAUCCCCGGGCUCAACCUGGGAACUGCAUUUGUGACUGCAAGGCUGGAGUACGGUAGAGGGGGAUGGAAUUCCGCGUGUAGCAGUGAAAUGCGUAGAUAUGCGGAGGAACACCGAUGGCGAAGGCAAUCCCCUGGACCUGUACUGACGCUCAUGCACGAAAGCGUGGGGAGCAAACAGG
RNAcentral lists this ribosomal RNA (253 nucleotides) under uncultured bacterium. Its description in RNAcentral is "partial 16S ribosomal RNA". It matches the Rfam family "Bacterial small subunit ribosomal RNA", at positions 524 to 776 of the family's 1533-position model. The record is from RNAcentral.